Molecule: ribosomal RNA, 427 nt
Filed under: uncultured bacterium
Lineage: Bacteria
Description: bacterial SSU rRNA
Rfam family: Bacterial small subunit ribosomal RNA
Source: RNAcentral
CGGUAAUACGUAGGGGGCGAGCGUUGUCCGGAAUUAUUGGGCGUAAAGGGUACGCAGGCGGUCUAAGAAGUCAGAUGUUAAAGCGUAGGGCUUAACCCUAUAAAGCAUAUGAAACUGAUAGACUUGAGUGAAGGAGAGGAAAGUGGAAUUCCUGGUGUAGCGGUGAAAUGCGUAGAUAUCAGGAGGAAUACCAGUGGCGAAGGCGACUUUCUGGACUUUAACUGACGCUGANGUACGAAAGCGCGGGGAGCAAACAGGAUUAGAUACCCUGGUAGUCCGCGCCGUAAACGAUGAAUGCUAGGUAUUGGGAGUCAAUUUCAGUGCCGAAGUAAACACAUUANNCAUUCCGCCUGGGGAGUACGGUGGCAACNCUGAAACUCAAGGAAUUGACGGGGACCCNCNCAGCACCGGACAUNUGGUUUAUUUC